This 492-nucleotide ribosomal RNA is filed under the name uncultured bacterium. Its description in RNAcentral is "partial 16S ribosomal RNA". It matches the Rfam family "Bacterial small subunit ribosomal RNA", at positions 29 to 507 of the family's 1533-position model. The record is from RNAcentral.
AGUGAACGCUGGCGGUAGGCCUAACACAUGCAAGUCGAACGGCAGCACAGUAAGAGCUUGCUCUUACGGGUGGCGAGUGGCGGACGGGUGAGGAAUACAUCGGAAUCUACUUUUUCGUGGGGGAUAACGUAGGGAAACUUACGCUAAUACCGCAUACGACCUACGGGUGAAAGCAGGGGAUCUUCGGACCUUGCGCGAUUGAAUGAGCCGAUGUCGGAUUAGCUAGUUGGCGGGGUAAAGGCCCACCAAGGCGACGAUCCGUAGCUGGUCUGAGAGGAUGAUCAGCCACAAUGAGACUGAGACACGGUCCAGACUCCUACGCGAGGCAGCAGUGGGGAAUAUUGGACAAUGGGCGCAAGCCUGAUCCAGCCAUACCGCGUGGGUGAAGAAGGCCUUCGGGUUGUAAAGCCCUUUUGUUGGGAAAGAAAAGCAGCAGGUUAAUACCCCGCUGUUCUGACGGUACCCAAAGAAUAAGCACCGGCUAACUUCGUG